GCUCAGAGUGAACGCUGGCGGCGUGCCUAAUACAUGCAAGUCGAACGAUGAAGCUUCUAGCUUGCUAGAAGUGGAUUAGUGGCGCACGGGUGAGUAAGGUAUAGUUAAUCUGCCCUACACAAGAGGACAACAGUUGGAAACGACUGCUAAUACUCUAUACUCCUGCUUAACACAAGUUGAGUAGGGAAAGUUUUUCGGUGUAGGAUGAGACUAUAUAGUAUCAGCUAGUUGGUAAGGUAAUGGCUUACCAAGGCUAUGACGCUUAACUGGUCUGAGAGGAUGAUCAGUCACACUGGAACUGAGACACGGUCCAGACUCCUACGGGAGGCAGCAGUAGGGAAUAUUGCGCAAUGGGGGAAACCCUGACGCAGCAACGCCGCGUGGAGGAUGACACUUUUCGGAGCGUAAACUCCUUUUCUUAGGGAAGAAUUCUGACGGUACCUAAGGAAUAAGCACCGGCUAACUCCGUGCCAGCAGCCGCGGUAAUACGGAGGGUGCAAGCGUUACUCGGAAUCACUGGGCGUAAAGGGCGCGUAGGCGGAUUAUCAAGUCUCUUGUGAAAUCUAAUGGCUUAACCAUUAAACUGCUUGGGAAACUGAUAGUCUAGAGUGAGGGAGAGGCAGAUGGAAUUGGUGGUGUAGGGGUAAAAUCCGUAGAUAUCACCAAGAAUACCCAUUGCGAAGGCGAUCUGCUGGAACUCAACUGACGCUAAGGCGCG
Molecule: ribosomal RNA, 718 nt
Filed under: Salmonella enterica
Lineage: Bacteria; Pseudomonadati; Pseudomonadota; Gammaproteobacteria; Enterobacterales; Enterobacteriaceae
Also listed under: 1 other name
Description: bacterial SSU rRNA
Rfam family: Bacterial small subunit ribosomal RNA
Source: RNAcentral